RNAcentral lists this unclassified non-coding RNA (327 nucleotides) under uncultured fungus. RNAcentral's name for it is "partial contains 5.8S rRNA and ITS2". Lineage: Eukaryota; Fungi. The record is from RNAcentral.
AACGCAAAUUGCGCUCGAGGCUUCGGCCAAGAGCAUGUCUGCCUCAGCGUCGGGUUAAUACUCACAUUUUCACUGCAGCCAGAGUGCACAUGUGGAUCUUGCUGUCUCGGUUUAUUUUAAUUAAUUAACCGGGUCAGCUGAAGUGCAGAUGUCAAGGCAUGGUCCGUUAAAUCUGGCCUCUACUGGGUAGGCAACUUGGUUGGUGUAUUGCUUUAGUAGAUUGCUUGGGGACUGCCUUUGGCAUGAAUCAGGAGUAUCUGUUCAUACAGGUACAACCAAUUCCAUUUUCUCGACCUGAGCUCAGGCAAGAUUACCCGCUGAACUUAA